RNAcentral lists this ribosomal RNA (497 nucleotides) under uncultured bacterium. Its description in RNAcentral is "partial 16S ribosomal RNA". It matches the Rfam family "Bacterial small subunit ribosomal RNA", at positions 28 to 507 of the family's 1533-position model. The record is from RNAcentral.
GAUGAACGCUGGCGGCGUGCCUAAUACAUGCAAGUCGAGCGAACAGACGAGGAGCUUGCUCCUCUGACGUUAGCGGCGGACGGGUGAGUAACACGUGGAUAACCUACCUAUAAGACUGGGAUAACUUCGGGAAACCGGAGCUCAUACCGGAUAAUAUAUUGAACCGCAUGGUUCAAUAGUGAAAGACGGUUUUGCUGUCACUUAUACAUGGAUCCGCGCCGCAUUAGCUAGUUGGUAAGGUAACGGCUUACCAAGGCAACGAUGCGUAGCCGACCUGAGAGGGUGAACGGCCACACUGGAACUGAGACACGGUCCAGACUCCUACGGGAGGCAGCAGUAGGGAAUCUUCCGAAAUGGGCGAAAGCCUGACGGAGCAACGCCGCGUGAGUGAUGAAGGUCUUCGGAUCGUAAAACUCUGUUAUUAGGGAAGAACAAAUGUGUAAGUAACUAUGCACGUCUUGACGGUACCUAAUCAGAAAGCCACGGCUAACUACGUG